Molecule: long non-coding RNA, 1240 nt
Organism: Brassica oleracea var. oleracea
Lineage: Eukaryota; Viridiplantae; Streptophyta; Magnoliopsida; Brassicales; Brassicaceae
Exons: 3
Source: RefSeq, a predicted model, not a curated record
UCUUGCACAAAUAUCCAAAAUAAGCAUAAGAACCGAAAAUGAUAAUCUAAAAGUCUCACAACUCCAUCAUACUCAUCACCCCCAAGAAAAAAAAAAAACUUGCAACGACCGAAACAAAAACAAACAAGCUCUUAACGGUAACUCUUCUAGAAACGAGAACUAGCACCACGACCACCAAACUUCUUAGGCUCGCACCUCCUCGGAUCCGCCACAAACAGUGUCCUGUCAUAACGAAUAAGGAUAUCCUUCACCUCCUUCUUCGACUGCUCAUCAACGUAAUUCUGGUAGAAAGCAACGAGGGCCUUGGCGAUACUCUGACGGAUGGCGUAUACCUGGGAUGUGUGUCCACACACCUGCGAAACGGUGUUUUCCGAGGAGGAGGACUGGCUCGAAGAUCUUGAAUCGGAGAUGAAAUAAUUUGAACACUUUUCAGUUGAUACCAUAUACGGGGUUUGUGUUUGUGAAUGUUAAUGUCCGUCAACGUCCGCUGUAACUAUGUUUCGAGCUGAAGCAACGGAACGUGUGAGUUUGAGUAGGCCUUUUCGGAGUGGCCCCCAAUAUGUGUAGGAGAGAGUUAGGACUUCUAGCCAAAGUUGACAUCAAAUCCAGCGCUUGCAAGCAACUGCUUUACUUAAUCACCACUGAAUGAACACGCAAUGUGAAGACAAGAUGACUGAGGUUUGGAGAAUCAAAGAGAAGACUGGAUCAGAAACAGAACAUGUUUCUGAGACAGAGAAACAAAGAGAUUCAGUCACUCAAACAGUGGGCCUUGAGUUGGAGAAGAUGCCAAAAGCUGAGACAAGCUUUACCAAGAAUGAGAUGGGGCCACAAGACAUAAGUGCAAAGCCCAUACAGAUGAAUAAACAAGCAACGGUCAUAUUAAAUCUUCAAGACAAAAGAGAAGUAAAAGACAAAGGAAGUGGUCCUGAGUUGUACGGAUUGCGAGAGCCAAUAAUGUUGAAGAACCAGCUACUAGAAUCCAAUGCAGAGACAAAGACCUAAUUGACAGCAAGGCAUUCAUCUAGGGCUUUCACACUUAUGUAUAAAUAUCUCUCUUACAACAAUGUUAAAAUGAGAGAAUUAUAAAGAGUUUAUUUCUGGAGAAUGAAAAACAUGAAGAACAUGAGAGAAAGGAAAAAUAUGAGAGAGAUGUAGAUUUCAAAAUGUAAGAGAGAGAAGGAGAGAAUAGUUUCCUUGAUUUUAAUUGUAGAUCUGGAUACAACUAUUUAAAGGCAAGUUG